Molecule: ribosomal RNA, 427 nt
Filed under: uncultured bacterium
Lineage: Bacteria
Description: bacterial SSU rRNA
Rfam family: Bacterial small subunit ribosomal RNA
Source: RNAcentral
UGGGGAAUUUUGGACAAUGGGCGCAAGCCUGAUCCAGCCAUGUCGCGUGCAGGAUGAAGGCCUUCGGGUUGUAAACUGCUUUUGUACGGAACGAAAAGGUGCCUUCUAAUAAAGGGCGCUCGUGACGGUACCGUAAGAAUAAGCACCGGCUAACUACGUGCCAGCAGCCGCGGUAAUACGUAGGGUGCGAGCGUUAAUCGGAAUUACUGGGCGUAAAGCGUGCGCAGGCGGUUUUGUAAGACAGAGGUGAAAUCCCCGGGCUCAACCUGGGAACUGCCUUUGUGACUGCAAGGCUGGAGUGCGGCAGAGGGCGAUGGAAUUCCACGUGUAGCAGUGAAAUGCGUAGAGAUGUGGAGGAACACCGAUGGCGAAGGCAGCCCCCUGGGCCUGUACUGACGCUCAUGCACGAAAGCGUGGGGAGCAAACA